Molecule: transfer RNA, 71 nt
Filed under: Salmo salar (Atlantic salmon)
Lineage: Eukaryota; Metazoa; Chordata; Actinopteri; Salmoniformes; Salmonidae
Rfam family: tRNA
About the family: Transfer RNA (tRNA) molecules are approximately 80 nucleotides in length.
Source: Rfam by way of RNAcentral
UGCCAGGUAGCCUAGUGGUUAGAGCUUUGGGCUGCUAACUGAAAGGUUGCUGGAUCAAAUCCAGCUGACAA